UGUCUGUGCCCUGAGAGCAUCACCGUACAACGCCAUCCUCUACCGGAGACCCUGAGACACAUCCCCUCACAAUGGACUGGAGCUGGAGAAUCCUCUACCUGGUGGCAGUGGCGACAGGUGUGCACUCCCAGGUUUUGCUGGUGCAGUCUGGGGCUGAAGUGAGGACGCCUGGGGCAUCAGUGAAGAUCUUCUGCAAAGCAUCUGGAUACGGCUUCACUGAUUACUAUAUGCACUGGGUGCGACAGUCUCCUGCACAAGGGCUUGAGUGGAUGGGAAGCAUUGACCCUGAAGAUGGUGCUACAAGCUACGCACAGAAGUUCCAGGGCAGACUCACUCUGACGGCAGACACAUCCACAAACACAGCCUACAUGGAGCUAAGCAGUCUGAGGUCUGCAGACACGGCCAUGUAUUACUGUGCAAGGACACAGUGAGGGGUUGUCAGUGUG
This is a non-coding RNA of Felis catus (domestic cat), 446 nucleotides long. The record is from the annotation of a RefSeq genome assembly. Lineage: Eukaryota; Metazoa; Chordata; Mammalia; Carnivora; Felidae.